Molecule: ribosomal RNA, 123 nt
Filed under: Pteropus alecto (black flying fox)
Lineage: Eukaryota; Metazoa; Chordata; Mammalia; Chiroptera; Pteropodidae
Source: RNAcentral
ACCUUAAAUUUAACUCAAAAAACUGCACAAGCUCGAUCCCAUCUGUUCUCGGAAGCUAAGCAGGAUAGGGACUGGUUAGUAUUUGGAUGGGAGACCACCUAGGAAGAUCAGGUGCUGUAGGUG